This 497-nucleotide ribosomal RNA is filed under the name uncultured bacterium. RNAcentral describes it as "partial 16S ribosomal RNA". It matches the Rfam family "Bacterial small subunit ribosomal RNA", at positions 28 to 507 of the family's 1533-position model. The record is from RNAcentral.
GAUGAACGCUGGCGGCGUGCCUAAUACAUGCAAGUCGAGCGAACAGACGAGGAGCUUGCUCCUCUGACGUUAGCGGCGGACGGGUGAGUAACACGUGGAUAACCUACCUAUAAGACUGGGAUAACUUCGGGAAACCGGAGCUAAUACCGGAUAAUAUAUUGAACCGCAUGGUUCAAUAGUGAAAGACGGUUUUGCUGUCACUUAUAGAUGGAUCCGCGCUGCAUUAGCUAGUUGGUAAGGUAACGGCUUACCAAGGCAACGAUGCAAAGCCGACCUGAGAGGGUGAUCGGCCAAACUGGAAGUGAGACACGGUCCAGACUAAUACGGGAGGCAGCAGUAGGGAAUCUUCCGCAAUGGGCGAAAGCCUGACGGAGCAACGCAGAGGGAGUGAUGAAGGUCUUCGGAUCGUAAAACUCUGUUAUUAGGGAAGAACAUAUGUGUAAGUAACUGUGCACAUCUUGACGGUACCUAAUCAGAAAGCCACGGCUAACUACGUG